This 374-nucleotide ribosomal RNA is filed under the name uncultured organism. RNAcentral describes it as "partial 16S ribosomal RNA". It matches the Rfam family "Bacterial small subunit ribosomal RNA", at positions 527 to 896 of the family's 1533-position model. The record is from RNAcentral.
GUAGGUGGCAAGCGUUAUCCGGAAUUAUUGGGCGUAAAGCGCGCGCAGGCGGUUCUUUAAGUCUGAUGUGAAAGCCCACGGCUCAACCGUGGAGGGUCAUUGGAAACUGGAGAACUUGAGUACAGAAGAGGAAAGCGGAAUUCCACGUGUAGCGGUGAAAUGCGUAGAGAUGUGGAGGAACACCAGUGGCGAAGGCGGCUUUCUGGUCUGUAACUGACGCUGAGGCGCGAAAGCGUGGGGAGCAAACAGGGAUUAGAUACCCUGGUAGUCCACGCCGUAAACGAUGAGUGCUAAGUGUUAGGGGGGUUUCCGCCCCCUUAGUGCUGCAGCUAACGCAUUAAGCACUCCGCCUGGGGAGUACGGCCGCAAGGCUG